Molecule: ribosomal RNA, 565 nt
Filed under: Acrobeles sp. MCb40
Lineage: Eukaryota; Metazoa; Nematoda; Chromadorea; Rhabditida; Cephalobidae
Description: SSU rRNA
Rfam family: Eukaryotic small subunit ribosomal RNA
Source: RNAcentral
GUGGAUUUUUAGCCCUGGUAGGAAGCUUCCCGGAAACGAAAGUCUUCCGGUUCCGGGGGAAGUAUGGUUGCAAAGCUGAAACUUAAAGGAAUUGACGGAAGGGCACCACCAGGAGUGGAGCCUGCGGCUUAAUUUGACUCAACACGGGGAAACUCACCCGGCCCGGACACCGUAAGGAUUGACAGAUUGAUAGCUCUUUCAUGAUUCGGUGGUUGGUGGUGCAUGGCCGUUCUUAGUUCGUGGAUCGAUUUGUCUGGUUUAUUCCGAUAACGAGCGAGACUCUAGCCUACUAAAUAGUAACGGAAUUACUACUGUUCCAGUUGCUUCUUAGAGGGAUUUUCGGUGUUUAGCCGCACGAGAUUGAGCAAUAACAGGUCUGUGAUGCCCUUAGAUGUCCGGGGCUGCACGCGCGCUACACUGGCGAAAUCAGCGUGCUGUAUCCAUUCUCGAAAGGGAUUGGUAAACCCAUGAAAAUUUGCCGUGCUUGGGAUCGGAAAUUGCAAUUAUUUUCCGUGAACGAGGAAUUCCAAGUAAGUGCGAGUCAUCAACUCGCUCUGAUUACGUC